RNAcentral lists this ribosomal RNA (1343 nucleotides) under Salmonella enterica subsp. enterica serovar Typhimurium. Its description in RNAcentral is "partial 23S ribosomal RNA". It matches the Rfam family "Bacterial large subunit ribosomal RNA", at positions 1578 to 2897 of the family's 2925-position model. Lineage: Bacteria; Pseudomonadati; Pseudomonadota; Gammaproteobacteria; Enterobacterales; Enterobacteriaceae. The record is from RNAcentral.
UACGGUGCUGAAGCAACAAAUGCCCUGCUUCCAGGAAAAGCCUCUAAGCAUCAGGUAACAUCAAAUCGUACCCCAAACCGACACAGGUGGUCAGGUAGAGAAUACCAAGGCGCUUGAGAGAACUCGGGUGAAGGAACUAGGCAAAAUGGUGCCGUAACUUCGGGAGAAGGCACGCUGACACGUAGGUGAAGUGAUUUACUCACGGAGCUGAAGUCAGUCGAAGAUACCAGCUGGCUGCAACUGUUUAUUAAAAACACAGCACUGUGCAAACACGAAAGUGGACGUAUACGGUGUGACGCCUGCCCGGUGCCGGAAGGUUAAUUGAUGGGGUCAGCGCAAGCGAAGCUCCUGAUCGAAGCCCCGGUAAACGGCGGCCGUAACUAUAACGGUCCUAAGGUAGCGAAAUUCCUUGUCGGGUAAGUUCCGACCUGCACGAAUGGCGUAAUGAUGGCCAGGCUGUCUCCACCCGAGACUCAGUGAAAUUGAACUCGCUGUGAAGAUGCAGUGUACCCGCGGCAAGACGGAAAGACCCCGUGAACCUUUACUAUAGCUUGACACUGAACAUUGAGCCUUGAUGUGUAGGAUAGGUGGGAGGCUUUGAAGUGUGGACGCCAGUCUGCAUGGAGCCGACCUUGAAAUACCACCCUUUAAUGUUUGAUGUUCUAACGUGGACCCGUAAUCCGGGUUGCGGACAGUGUCUGGUGGGUAGUUUGACUGGGGCGGUCUCCUCCUAAAGAGUAACGGAGGAGCACGAAGGUUGGCUAAUCCUGGUCGGACAUCAGGAGGUUAGUGCAAUGGCAUAAGCCAGCUUGACUGCGAGCGUGACGGCGCGAGCAGGUGCGAAAGCAGGUCAUAGUGAUCCGGUGGUUCUGAAUGGAAGGGCCAUCGCUCAACGGAUAAAAGGUACUCCGGGGAUAACAGGCUGAUACCGCCCAAGAGUUCAUAUCGACGGCGGUGUUUGGCACCUCGAUGUCGGCUCAUCACAUCCUGGGGCUGAAGUAGGUCCCAAGGGUAUGGCUGUUCGCCAUUUAAAGUGGUACGCGAGCUGGGUUUAGAACGUCGUGAGACAGUUCGGUCCCUAUCUGCCGUGGGCGCUGGAGAACUGAGGGGGGCUGCUCCUAGUACGAGAGGACCGGAGUGGACGCAUCACUGGUGUUCGGGUUGUCAUGCCAAUGGCACUGCCCGGUAGCUAAAUGCGGAAGAGAUAAGUGCUGAAAGCAUCUAAGCACGAAACUUGCCCCGAGAUGAGUUCUCCCUGAGACUUUAGGUCUCCUGAAGGAACGUUGAAGACGACGACGUUGAUAGGCCGGGUGUGUAAGCGCAGCGAUGCGUUGAGCUAACCG